GGGCCCGCACAAGCGGUGGAGUAUGUGGUUUAAUUCGAUGCAACGCGAAGAACCUUACCAGGGUUUGACAUCCUGCGAAUCUCUUGGAAACUUGAGAGUGCCUUCGGGAGCGCAGUGACAGGUGGUGCAUGGCUGUCGUCAGCUCGUGUCGUGAGAUGUUGGGUUAAGUCCCGCAACGAGCGCAACCCACGUCUUUAGUUGCCAGCAUUUAGUUGGGCACUCUAGAGAGACCGCCGGUGAUAAACCGGAGGAAGGUGUGGAUGACGUCAAGUCAUCAUGCCCCUUACAUCCUGGGCUACACACGUACUACAAUGCUACGGACAAAGGGCAGCAAGUUCGCGAGGACAAGCAAAUCCCAUAAACCGUGGCUCAGUUCAGAUCGUAGGCUGCAACUCGCCUACGUG
This 404-nucleotide ribosomal RNA is filed under the name uncultured bacterium. RNAcentral describes it as "bacterial SSU rRNA". It matches the Rfam family "Bacterial small subunit ribosomal RNA", at positions 917 to 1322 of the family's 1533-position model. The record is from RNAcentral.